AGUCGACGAAGCACUUGAUUUGAUUCUUCGGAUGAAGAUCCUGGCGACUGAGUGGCGGACGGGUGAGUAACGCGUGGGUAACCUGCCUCAUACAGGGGGAUAACAGUUAGAAAUGACUGCUAAUACCGCAUAAGACCACAGCACCGCAUGGUGCAGGGGUAAAAACUCCGGUGGUAUGAGAUGGACCCGCGUCUGAUUAGGUAGUUGGUGGGGUAACGGCCUACCAAGCCGACGAUCAGUAGCCGACCUGAGAGGGUGACCGGCCACAUUGGGACUGAGACACGGCCCAAACUCCUACGGGAGGCAGCAGUGGGGAAUAUUGCACAAUGGGGGAAACCCUGAUGCAGCGACGCCGCGUGAGCGAUGAAGUAUUUCGGUAUGUAAAGCUCUAUCAGCAGGGAAGAAAAUGACGGUACCUGACUAAGAAGCACCGGCUAAAUACGUGCCAGCAGCCGCGGUAAUACGUAUGGUGCAAGCGUUAUCCGGAUUUACUGGGUGUAAAGGGGGCGUAGACGGAGUGGCAAGUCUGAUGUGAAAACCCGGGGCUCAACCCCGGGACUGCAUUGGAAACUGUCAAUCUGGAGUACCGGAGAGGUAAGCGGAAUUCCUAGUGUAGCGGUGAAAUGCGUAGAUAUUAGGAGGAACACCUGUGGCGAAGGCGGCUUACUGGACGGUAACUGACGUUGAGGCUCGAAAGCGUGGGGAGCAAACAGGAUUAGAUACCCUGGUAGUCCACGCCGUANACGAUGACUACUAGGUNUCGGGCAGCAAAGCUGUUCGGUGCCGCAGCAAACGCAAUAAGUAG
Molecule: ribosomal RNA, 805 nt
Filed under: uncultured bacterium
Lineage: Bacteria
Description: bacterial SSU rRNA
Rfam family: Bacterial small subunit ribosomal RNA
Source: RNAcentral